UUCCGGUUUGGCAGCUGAAAACUGCUUGGCUCCUCUGGGUUUGGUAUCUUGAGAAUAAAGGCAUCUGGAUAAGGAAGCCAAAGACCUCUGGACAAAGGAGACAUGAAAAAAAAAGGACAAAUCAUCCAGAAAGUAAAGUCCCAAGAAAAAGAACAUAUAAUGCAAAUGGUCUUUUUGUAGUCCCAGUGCAAUUAAGAAUUAAAGCUGUCAGGGUUGCAGAGAUGGCUCAGCGGUUAAGAGCACUGACUGUUCUUCCAGAGGUCCUGAGUUCAAUUCCUGGCAACCACAUGAUGGCUCACAACCACCUUGAAUGAGAUCUGGUGUCCUCC
Mesocricetus auratus (golden hamster) is the source of this 329-nucleotide long non-coding RNA. RefSeq lists it as uncharacterized. The transcript has 3 exons. NCBI's taxonomy places the organism in Eukaryota, Metazoa, Chordata, Mammalia, Rodentia, Cricetidae. The record is from RefSeq and is a predicted model, not a curated record.